RNAcentral lists this ribosomal RNA (301 nucleotides) under uncultured bacterium. Its description in RNAcentral is "partial 16S ribosomal RNA". It matches the Rfam family "Bacterial small subunit ribosomal RNA", at positions 509 to 807 of the family's 1533-position model. The record is from RNAcentral.
CAGCCGCCACGGUAAUGCAUAGGUGGCAAGCGUUGUCCGGAAUUAUUGGGCGUAAAGGGCUCGCAGGCGGUUUCUUAAGUCUGAUGUGAAAGCCCCCGGCUCAACCGGGGAGGGUCAUUGGAAACUGGGAAACUUGAGUGCAGAAGAGGAGAGUGGAAUUCCACGUGUAGCGGUGAAAUGCGUAGAGAUGUGGAGGAACACCAGUGGCGAAGGCGACUCUCUGGUCUGUAACUGACGCUGAGGAGCGAAAGCGUGGGGAGCGAACAGGAUUAGAUACCCCGGUAGUCCCUGUCUCUUAUAC